AGGAUGGAAGGUUCCUAGUGACCUUUACAACACAUAUAUGGUUAAGGCUGCCACCUACUUUGUGGCAUCUAACCAAGGUUUUAU
RNAcentral lists this non-coding RNA (84 nucleotides) under Ornithorhynchus anatinus (platypus). Lineage: Eukaryota; Metazoa; Chordata; Mammalia; Monotremata; Ornithorhynchidae. The record is from RNAcentral.